RNAcentral lists this ribosomal RNA (305 nucleotides) under uncultured bacterium. RNAcentral describes it as "bacterial SSU rRNA". It matches the Rfam family "Bacterial small subunit ribosomal RNA", at positions 337 to 634 of the family's 1533-position model. The record is from RNAcentral.
CCCUACGGGGGGCAGCAGUAGGGAAUCUUCCACAAUGGGCGAAAGCCUGAUGGAGCAACGCCGCGUGGGUGAAGAAGGUCUUCGGAUCGUAAAACCCUGUUGUUAGAGAAGAAAGUGCGUGAGAGUAACUGUUCACGUUUCGACGGUAUCUAACCAGAAAGCCACGGCUAACUACGUGCCAGCAGCCGCGGUAAUACGUAGGUGGCAAGCGUUAUCCGGAUUUAUUGGGCGUAAAGGGAACGCAGGCGGUCUUUUAUGUCUGAUGUGAAAGCCUUCGGCUUAACCGGAGUAGUGCAUUGGAAACU